UUUUGGACAAUGGGGGAAACCCUGAUCCAGCCAUCCCGCGUGUGCGAUGAAGGCCUUCNGGUUGUNANGCACUUUUGUCAGGGAANAAAUCGUACAGGCUAAUAUCCUGUGCGGAUGACGGUACCUGAAGAAUAAGCACCGGCUAACUACGUGCCAGCAGCCGAGGUAAUACGUAGGGUGCAAGCGUUAAUCGGAAUUACUGGGCGUAAAGGGUGCGCAGGCGGUUUAUCAAGAAGGGUGUGAAAUCCCCGGGCUUAACCUGGGAAUGGCACUUUUAACUGAUAGGCUAGAGUAUGUCAGAGGGGGGUAGAAUUCCACGUGUAGCAGUGAAAUGCGUAGAGAUGUGGAGGAAUACCGAUGGCGAAGGCAGCCCCCUGGGAUAAUACUGACGCUCAGACACGAAAGCGUGGGGAGCAAACA
Molecule: ribosomal RNA, 420 nt
Filed under: uncultured bacterium
Lineage: Bacteria
Description: partial 16S ribosomal RNA
Rfam family: Bacterial small subunit ribosomal RNA
Source: RNAcentral